RNAcentral lists this unclassified non-coding RNA (684 nucleotides) under Hevea brasiliensis (rubber tree). The record is from RNAcentral. Lineage: Eukaryota; Viridiplantae; Streptophyta; Magnoliopsida; Malpighiales; Euphorbiaceae.
GGCCACCAUUGUUAGGUCACCGAAGCUCUCCCUCUCCCUUUCUACUCCUGAAUCAACCACCUCAAAUCUACCAUCUCUCAAUCAGAGUUUCUUCACUCCGUUACCUAAACGACGUCGUUGUAUCUCGAUCUACGCAUGUAGCGCUGGUGACCAGAGUAACAGUGCAUUUGGAGGUGAAAUUAAGAAAGGACAAGCGAUUGAGCUGAAUAAAGUCAAUGAUGAGAAUCCUUAUGAAUUUAAUGCUAAGGAUUCACCUAAUCCCUUGCCUAGGCCAUUAACUUCGGCUGAUUUGAACAAUAUGGCUUCUCAAGGUUCUCGUCUUCGGGUUGCUUAUCAGGGUGUGCGUGGUGCUUAUAGUGAAUCAGCAGCAGAGAAAGCAUACCCCAACUGUGAAGCAGUUCCGUGCGAACAAUUUGAUACUGCUUUUGAAGCUGUUGAAAGGUGGCUUGUUGAUAGAGCAGUUUUACCAAUAGAAAACUCUUUAGGGGGGAGUAUCCACAGGAAUUAUGACCUUUUGCUGAGACAUCGUUUACAUAUAGUUGGAGAAGUCAAACUAGCAGUUCGACACUGUUUGCUGGCUAACAACGGCGUCAAAAUCGAAGACCUGAAAAGAGUUCUUAGUCAUCCGCAGGCUCUUGCUCAGUGUGAGAACACAUUAACGAAGUUGGGAUUGGUCAGAGAAGC